GAUGAAGAACGCAGCGAAAUGCGAUACGUAAUGUGAAUUGCAAAUUCAGUGAAUCAUCGAGUCUUUGAACGCAUAUUGCGCCCCCUGGUAUUCCGGGGGGCAUGCCUGUCCGAGCGUCAUUGCUGCCCUCAAGCACGGCUUGUGUGUUGGGCCCCGUCCUCCGAUCCCGGGGGACGGGCCCGAAAGGCAGCGGCGGCACCGCGUCCGGUCCUCGAGCGUAUGGGGCUUUGUCACCCGCUCUGUAGGCCCGGCCGGCGCUUGCCGAUCAACCCAAAUUUUUAUCCAGGUUGACCUCGGAUCAGGUAGGGAUACCCGCUGAACUUAAGCAUAUCAAUAAGCGGAGGA
Molecule: unclassified non-coding RNA, 345 nt
Filed under: soil metagenome
Description: partial contains 5.8S ribosomal RNA, internal transcribed spacer 2, and large subunit ribosomal RNA
Rfam family: 5.8S ribosomal RNA (bases 1-119)
Source: RNAcentral